CUCAGUAACACGUGGAUAACCUUCCCUUAGGACCGGAAUAACCCCGGGAAACUGGGGAUAAUACCGGAUAGGCCAUAGACGCUGGAAUGCCCUAUGGUUCAAAGCUCCGGCGCCUAAGGAUGGAUCUGCGGUCUAUCAGGUUGUAGUGGGUGUAACGUACCUACUAGCCGACGACGGAUACGGGUUGUGAGAGCAAGAGCCCGGAGAUGGAUUCUGAGACACGAAUCCAGGCCCUACGGGGUGCAGCAGGCGCGAAAACUUUACAAUGCGGGAAACCGCGAUAAGGGGACACCGAGUGCCAGCAUAUUAUGUUGGCUGUCCACAUGUGUAAACGGCAUGUGUUAGCGAGGGCCGGGCAAGACCGGUGCCAGCCGCCGCGGUAACACCGGCGGCCCGAGUGGUAAUCACUUUUAUUGGGUCUAAAGGGUCCGUAGCCGGUUUGAUCAGUUCUUCGGGAAAUCUGACAGCUCAACUGUUAGGCUUCCGGGGAAUACUGUCAGACUUGGGACCGGGAGAGGUAAGAGGUACUACAGGGGUAGGAGUGAAAUCUUGUAAUCCCUGUGGGACCACCAGUGGCGAAGGCGUCUUACCAGAACGGGUCCGACGGUGAGGGACGAAAGCUGGGGGCACGAACCGGAUUAGAUACCCGGGUAGUCCCAGCCGUAAACGAUGUUCGCUAGGUGUCUGGGACGGUGCGACCGUUUCUGGUGCCGUAGGGAAGCCGUGAAGCAGCCACCUGGGAAGUACGGCCGCAAGGCUGAAACUAAA
RNAcentral lists this ribosomal RNA (768 nucleotides) under uncultured archaeon. RNAcentral describes it as "bacterial SSU rRNA". It matches the Rfam family "Archaeal small subunit ribosomal RNA", at positions 89 to 859 of the family's 1478-position model. The record is from RNAcentral.